CCUACGGGAGGCAGCAGUGGGGAAUAUUGCACAAUGGGGGAAACUCUGAUGCAGCGACGCCGCGUGAGUGAAGACGUAUCUCGGUACGUUAAGCUCCAUUUGUAGGGAAGUAAAUGACGGUACCUGACUAAGAAGCCACGGCUAACUAGGUGCAAGCAGCCGCGGUAAUACGUAGGGGGCAAGCGUUAUCCGGAUUUACUGGGUGUAAAGGGAGCGUAGACGGCAGCGCAAGUCUGGAGUGAAAUCCCAUGGCUUAACCAUGGAACUGCGUUGGAAACUGUGCGGUUUGAGUACAGGUGAGGUAAGCGGAAUUCCUGGUGUAGCGGUGAAAUGCUUAGAUAUUAGGAAGAACACCAGUGGCGAAGGCAGCUUACUAAACUGUGACUGACGUUGAGGCUCGAAAGCGUGGGGAGCAAACAGGAUUAGAUACCCGUGUAGUC
Molecule: ribosomal RNA, 440 nt
Filed under: uncultured bacterium
Lineage: Bacteria
Description: partial 16S ribosomal RNA
Rfam family: Bacterial small subunit ribosomal RNA
Source: RNAcentral